RNAcentral lists this ribosomal RNA (253 nucleotides) under uncultured bacterium. Its description in RNAcentral is "partial 16S ribosomal RNA". It matches the Rfam family "Bacterial small subunit ribosomal RNA", at positions 524 to 776 of the family's 1533-position model. The record is from RNAcentral.
UACGGGGGGGGCAAGCGUUGUUCGGAAUUACUGGGCGUAAAGGGCUCGUAGGCGGCCGACUAAGUCAGACGUGAAAUCCCUCGGCUUAACCGGGGAACUGCGUCUGAUACUGGACGGCUUGAGUUCGGGAGAGGGAUGCGGAAUUCCAGGUGUAGCGGUGAAAUGCGUAGAUAUCUGGAGGAACACCGGUGGCGAAGGCGGCAUCCUGGACCGACACUGACGCUGAGGCGCGAAAGCUAGGGGAGCGAACAGG